Molecule: transfer RNA, 48 nt
Filed under: Bacillota bacterium
Lineage: Bacteria; Bacillati; Bacillota
Description: tRNA-Pro
Source: RNAcentral
CGGGGCGUGGCGCAGUUUGGCUAGCGCGCUUGCUUGGGGUGCAAGAGG